UACGUAGGGGGCUAGCGUUGUCCGGAUUUAUUGGGCGUAAAGAGCGUGUAGGCGGUUAGGUAGGUCCGUUGUGAAAACUCGAGGCUCAACCUCGAGACGCCGAUGGAAACCAUCUGACUAGAGUCCGGAAGAGGAGAGUGGAAUUCCUGGUGUAGCGGUGAAAUGCGCAGAUAUCAGGAAGAACACCCGUGGCUAAGGCGGCUCUCUAGUACGUGACUGACGCUGAGACGCGAAAGCGUGGGGAGCGAACAGG
This 253-nucleotide ribosomal RNA is filed under the name uncultured bacterium. RNAcentral describes it as "partial 16S ribosomal RNA". It matches the Rfam family "Bacterial small subunit ribosomal RNA", at positions 524 to 776 of the family's 1533-position model. The record is from RNAcentral.